This 469-nucleotide ribosomal RNA is filed under the name uncultured Anoxybacillus sp. Its description in RNAcentral is "bacterial SSU rRNA". It matches the Rfam family "Bacterial small subunit ribosomal RNA", at positions 910 to 1382 of the family's 1533-position model. Lineage: Bacteria; Bacillati; Bacillota; Bacilli; Caryophanales; Anoxybacillaceae. The record is from RNAcentral.
UUGACGGGGCCGCACAAGCGGUGGAGCAUGUGGUUAAUUCGAAGCAGCGCGAAGAACCUUACCAGGUCUUGACAUCCCCUGGCAACCCGAGAGAUCGGGCGUUCCCCUUCGGGGGACAGGGUGACAGGUGGUGCAUGGUUGUCGUCAGCUCGUGUCGUGAGAUGUUGGGUUAAGUCCCGCAACGAGCGCAACCCUCGACCUUAGUUGCCAGCAUUCAGUUGGGCACUCUAAGGUGACUGCCGGCUAAAAGUCGGAGGAAGGUGGGAUGACGUCAAAUCAUCAUGCCCCUUAUGACCUGGGCUACACACGUGCUACAAUGGGCGGUACAAAGGGUCGCGAACCCGCGAGGGGGAGCCAAUCCCAAAAAGCCGCUCUCAGUUCGGAUUGCAGGCUGCAACUCGCCUGCAUGAAGCCGGAAUCGCUAGUAAUCGCGGAUCAGCAUGCCGCGGUGAAUACGUUCCUGGGGCUU